UAACGCGUAGGUAUCUAUCCUGAGGUGGGGGACAACUGUGGGAAACUACAGCUAAUACCGCAUGAUGACCGAGGUCCAAAGGCGCAAGUCGCCUUGGGAGGAGCCUGCGUCCGAUUAGCUUGUUGGUGGGGUAAUGGCCUACCAAGGCUCCGAUCGGUAGCUGGUCUGAGAGGAUGAUCAGCCACACUGGGACUGAGACACGGCCCAGACUCCUACGGGAGGCAGCAGUGGGGAAUAUUGGACAAUGGGCGAAAGCCUGAUCCAGCAAUGCCGCGUGGGUGAAGAAGGUCUUCGGAUUGUAAAGCCCUUUCGACGGGGACGAUGAUGACGGUACCCGUAGAAGAAGCCCCGGCUAACUUCGUGCCAGCAGCCGCGGUAAUACG
This 383-nucleotide ribosomal RNA is filed under the name uncultured bacterium. RNAcentral's name for it is "bacterial SSU rRNA". It matches the Rfam family "Bacterial small subunit ribosomal RNA", at positions 111 to 527 of the family's 1533-position model. The record is from RNAcentral.